Molecule: non-coding RNA, 411 nt
Organism: Lolium perenne
Lineage: Eukaryota; Viridiplantae; Streptophyta; Magnoliopsida; Poales; Poaceae
Source: RefSeq, a predicted model, not a curated record
UCAGGAGAAUGCUGCAUGAUAUUCGACGCCAAAAACAAGCGCUUGAGAACACCUGAAAGGUCAGGAUCUCCUCUUGUGUGGCCAUAAGGGCCACCAAGAGACCAGAGAAUGUCGGGAAGAUGAUAGUGGUGAUAUUCCCGUGCUUUGGCAAGAGGUACCUGUCAUUGGUGUUGUUCCAUUCCAUCCAGAAGUGCGAGAAGAUGCAGGCUGAGGCAUGAACUUAUGAAUUAUUUAGGUUCUUUUCUGAAAUAAAAAAUGAGGCAUGAAACACGCUUGCUUUUAGUUGAUAUUGAUAUUGGUUGCAUGGAAAAUAUUUUGUCACAAACCAGUCAGCUUAACAAAGUGGCUAUGAUAGUGUUUUCAAAUGUUUACUUUUGGCAUGGUUAUGUUGUUUUCAUGGUCCUCCCUCCG